ACUUUAAUUGAAGAGUUUGAUCAUGGCUCAGAUUGAACGCUGGCGGCAGGCCUAACACAUGCAAGUCGAGCGGUAACAGGAAUUAGCUUGCUAAUUUGCUGACGAGCGGCGGAC
RNAcentral lists this ribosomal RNA (114 nucleotides) under Shewanella sp. 10N.286.52.B9. Its description in RNAcentral is "partial 16S ribosomal RNA". It matches the Rfam family "Bacterial small subunit ribosomal RNA", at positions 1 to 103 of the family's 1533-position model. Lineage: Bacteria; Pseudomonadati; Pseudomonadota; Gammaproteobacteria; Alteromonadales; Shewanellaceae. The record is from RNAcentral.